Octopus bimaculoides (California two-spot octopus) is the source of this 1210-nucleotide long non-coding RNA. The record is from RefSeq and is a predicted model, not a curated record. Lineage: Eukaryota; Metazoa; Mollusca; Cephalopoda; Octopoda; Octopodidae.
UUUAUAGGGUGGUUGAUAAAUAAAACUGUCCUUGUUUAGCAUUUUAUUUAUAUUCUGUUUGGAAAGAGAUAGCUAAAAAAAUUUCAGUCGAGUGAAAGUAGUUUAAACUGGAAAAAGUGAAGUGGCAUGUCUGUAGUAAAAGAAGAGAAAAUAAAAACAGUCUCUGAAGAAUGUGACAUGAUCUCGUAUUUAUUGAUAGUGAAAUGAAAUAAAAGAGAAAAAAAAACCGGAUAAAACAGAAAAAGCAUCACCCCCGGAGAAUGGCAAGGGAGGUACAUUGAAACAACAACUCUGAUGGGCUCGCGCUUACGGGUAGCCAUCUCCGCCCUGAUUGCGGUGAGCAGGGAUGUGGUCCGGGGACGAAAUACGCCGGAGGUCUACACUACCAUAGAAUCGACCGCGGCAAAAGACGAGAAAUCUGGGAAGGUGAUCCGACAAUUGGCACUUAUUUUAUCGACCCUGAAAGGAUGAUAGACAAAGUAGAUCCUGUUGGGAUUUGAACUCAGAACAUAAAGAGCCGUUUAGAAUAAUAAUAUUUCAUUCUGCUAUAAGUGCCCAAACCAGUGAACCAAUAUUCACGAAACUUUGCAUUCAUGUUACUUAUAUCAAAGAAGGUGAGAGCAGUGAUGGAAAUGGGGUGUGACGUUUUUACAGCUGUCAUAUACAUGCGACGCUGCAUACAUACUUUUGCAAAUACAUAAAUACAAUACAUACACACAGAAAUGGUGGUGUGAGGAAUACGAAGCGUUAAGGAGAAAAGGGAAAAGUUCCAGAAAAUGUUACAGAGGUUUAAAGUCUAAUCAAUUUUACCUAAUCAGAAAGCAGGAUUUGGAAGCAGGUAUUUUCUGCCUGAUUGCUGUCUAUCACAGAAUGAAAGCAAAAUCAUUAGGAGAAGGUAUUUUUUAUUAAACAAACGAAUGCAAAACAUUAUGACGACCAAAGUUGUAAGAACUGAUGAAGUUUUAAUGAAUAAAGUCAUGUGAAAUGGUCGAACAGACAUGUAAAUAAUUUAAAAAGUAAAAAAAAAUCCUCAACGAAAUUUUUGGCAAAACUUUGCACAAAUCUGUCCUAUCUGUCGAGAAAGGCAUGCUUUGAUAUGGAAUAAAUGAAAAUUUAUAUAAGACAAUUAAUUGUAAAAAUUGCCUGGCAACGACGGGCUAUUCAGCUAGUUUUAAAUAAAACUGCGAAUCGAACUCGCGAGUCCGUUUGA